Molecule: ribosomal RNA, 497 nt
Filed under: uncultured bacterium
Lineage: Bacteria
Description: partial 16S ribosomal RNA
Rfam family: Bacterial small subunit ribosomal RNA
Source: RNAcentral
GACGAACGCUGGCGGCGUGCCUAAUACAUGCAAGUUGAGCGCUGAAGGUUGGUACUUGUACCAACUGGAUGAGCAGCGAACGGGUGAGUAACGCGUGGUGAAUCUGCCUUUGAGCGGGGGACAACAUUUGGAAACGAAUGCUAAUACCGCAUAAAAACUUUAAACACAAGUUUUAAGUUUGAAAGAUGCAAUUGCAUCACUCAAAGAUGAUCCCGCGUUGUAUUAGCUAGUUGGUGAGGUAAAGGCUCACCAAGGCGAUGAUACAUAGCCGACCUGAGAGGGUGAUCGGCCACAUUGGGACUGAGACACGGCCCAAACUCCUACGGGAGGCAGCAGUAGGGAAUCUUCGGCAAUGGACGAAAGUCUGACCGAGCAACGCCGCGUGAGGGAAGAAGGGUUUCGGAUCGUAAAACUCUGUUGGUAGAGAAGAACGUUGGUGAGAGUGGAAAGCUCAUCAAGUGACGGUAACUACACAGAAAGGGACGGCUAACUACGUG